AUUGAACGCUGGCGGCAUGCCUUACACAUGCAAGUCGAACGGUAACGGGCCUUCGGGUGCCGACGAGUGGCGAACGGGUGAGUAAUACAUCGGAACGUGCCCGAUCGUGGGGGAUAACGAGGCGAAAGCUUUGCUAAUACCGCAUACGAUCUACGGAUGAAAGCAGGGGACCGCAAGGCCUUGCGCGGACGGAGCGGCCGAUGGCAGAUUGGGUAGUUGGUGGGAUAAAAGCUUACCAAGCCGACGAUCUGUAGGUGGUCUGAGAGGAUGAUCAGCCACACUGGGACUGAGACACGGCCCAGACUCCUACGGGAGGCAGCAGUGGGGAAUUUUGGACAAUGGGCGCAAGCCUGAUCCAGCCAUGCCGCGUGCAGGAUGAAGGCCUUCGGGUUGUAAACUGCUUUUGUACGGAACGAAAAGCCUUCUUUUAAUACAGGAGGGUCAUGACGGUACCGUAAGAAUAAGCACCGGCUAACUACGUG
Molecule: ribosomal RNA, 482 nt
Filed under: uncultured bacterium
Lineage: Bacteria
Description: partial 16S ribosomal RNA
Rfam family: Bacterial small subunit ribosomal RNA
Source: RNAcentral